GAACGCAUAUUGCGCUCUUUGGUAUUCCGAAGAGCAUGCUUGUUUGAGUAUCAGUAAACACCUCAAAGCUUUUGAUUUUUUUUAAAAGUUUUGGACUUGAGCAAUCCCAACACCAAUCUUUUUCAGAUCGGCGGCGGGUUGCUUGAAAUGCAGGUGCAGCUGGACAUUCUCCUGAGCUAAAAGCAUAUUUAUUUAGUCCCGUCAAACGGAUUAUUACUUUUGCUGCAGCUAAUAUAAAGGGAGUUUGACCGUAUUGGCUGACUGAUGCAGGAUUUCACAAGGGUCGGCAACGAUUCUUGUAAAACUCGAUCUCAAAUCAAGUAAGACUACCCGCGGAACUUA
RNAcentral lists this unclassified non-coding RNA (342 nucleotides) under uncultured Mortierella. RNAcentral describes it as "sequence contains 5.8S rRNA gene". The stretch from base 1 to 53 matches the Rfam family "5.8S ribosomal RNA", at positions 102 to 154 of the family's 154-position model. The record is from RNAcentral. Lineage: Eukaryota; Fungi; Mortierellomycota; Mortierellomycetes; Mortierellales; Mortierellaceae.